RNAcentral lists this ribosomal RNA (32 nucleotides) under Cadophora sp. REF010. RNAcentral's name for it is "partial 28S ribosomal RNA". The record is from RNAcentral. Lineage: Eukaryota; Fungi; Ascomycota; Leotiomycetes; Helotiales; Ploettnerulaceae.
UGACCUCGGAUCAGCUAUUAUAUUCGCCUUCC